GAUGAACGCUGGCGGCGUGCUUAACACAUGCAAGUCGAACGGAAAGGCCCAAGCUUGCUUGGGUACUCGAGUGCCGAAGGGGUGAGUAACACGCGGGUGAUCUGCCCUGCACUUCGGGAUAAGCCUGGGAAACUGGGUCUAAUACCGGAUAGGAUCACAUUUUGGAUGGUGUGGUGGAAAGUUUUUCGGUGUGGGGUGAGCUCGCGGCCUAUCCGCUUGUUGGUGGGAUAAUGGCCUACCAAGGCGUCGACGGGUAGACGGCCUGAGAGAGUGUACGGCCACAUUGGGUCUGAGGGGCGGCACAGACUGCUACGGGAGGCAGCAGUGGGGAAUAUUGCACAAUGGGCGCAGGGCUGAUGCAGCGACGCCGCGUGGGGGAUGACGGCCUUCGGGGUGUAGACUCCUUUCGCAAGUGACGAUGCGUUAUGUGACGGUACCUAGUGAGGAAGCACCGGCUAACUACGUG
RNAcentral lists this ribosomal RNA (466 nucleotides) under uncultured bacterium. RNAcentral describes it as "partial 16S ribosomal RNA". It matches the Rfam family "Bacterial small subunit ribosomal RNA", at positions 28 to 507 of the family's 1533-position model. The record is from RNAcentral.